AUACGGAGGAUCCGAGCGUUAUCCGGAUUUAUUGGGUUUAAAGGGAGCGUAGGUGGACAGUUAAGUCAGUUGUGAAAGUUUGCGGCUCAACCGUAAAAUUGCAGUUGAUACUGGCUGUCUUGAGUACAGUAGAGGUGGGCGGAAUUCGUGGUGUAGCGGUGAAAUGCUUAGAUAUCACGAAGAACUCCGAUUGCGAAGGCAGCUCACUGGACUGCAACUGACACUGAUGCUCGAAAGUGUGGGUAUCAAACAGUAUUAGAUACCCUGGUAGUCCACACAGUAAACGAUGAAUACUCGCUGUGUGCGAUAUACAGUAAGCGGCCAAGCGAAAGCAUUAAGUAUUCCACCUGGGGAGUACGCCGGCAACGGUGAAACUCAAAGGAAUUGACGGGG
This 393-nucleotide ribosomal RNA is filed under the name uncultured bacterium. Its description in RNAcentral is "partial 16S ribosomal RNA". It matches the Rfam family "Bacterial small subunit ribosomal RNA", at positions 523 to 918 of the family's 1533-position model. The record is from RNAcentral.